This 1432-nucleotide ribosomal RNA is filed under the name uncultured Sphingobacterium sp. RNAcentral's name for it is "bacterial SSU rRNA". It matches the Rfam family "Bacterial small subunit ribosomal RNA". Lineage: Bacteria; Pseudomonadati; Bacteroidota; Sphingobacteriia; Sphingobacteriales; Sphingobacteriaceae. The record is from RNAcentral.
AGAGUUUGAUCAUGGCUCAGAACGUACGCUGGCGGCACGCCUAACACAUGCAAGUCGAACGCAGUAGCAAUACUGAGUGGCAGACGGGUGAGUAACAUGUGGGAAUCUGCCUUGUGGUUCAGGACAACAUUGGGAAACCGAUGCUAAUACUGGAUAAGCCCUUACGGGGAAAGUUUUAAUGCCAUAAGAUGAGCCCGCAUUUGAUUAGUUAGUUGGUGAGGUAAUGGCUCGCCAAGACAAUGAUCAAUAGCUGAUCUGAGAGGAUGAUCAGCCACACUGGGACUGAGACACAGCCCAGACUCCUACGGGAGGCAGCAGUGGGGAAUCUUGCACAAUGGAGGAAACUCUGAUGCAGCGAUGCCGCGUGAGUGAAGAAGGCCUUUGGGUUGUAAAGCUCUUUUGUAGGGGAAGAUAAUGACUGUACCCUAAGAAUAAGGAUCGGCUAACUCCGUGCCAGCAGCCGCGGUAAUACGGAGGAUCCAAGCGUUAUCCGGAUUUAUUGGGUUUAAAGGGUGCGUAGGCGGCUUUUUAAGUCAGGGGUGAAAGACGGUGGCUCAACCAUCGCAGUGCCCUUGAUACUGAAGAGCUUGAAUACACUAGAGGUAGGCGGAAUGAGACAAGUAGCGGUGAAAUGCAUAGAUAUGUCUCAGAACACCAAUUGCGAAAGGCAGCUUACUAUGGUGUUAUUGACGCUGAGGCACGAAAGCGUGGGGAUCAAACAGGAUUAGAUACCCUGGUAGUCCACGCCCUAAACGAUGAAUACUCGAUGUUAGCGAUAAACAGUUAGCGUCUAAGCGAAAGCGUUAAGUAUUCCACCUGGGGAGUACGCCCGCAAGGGUGAAACUCAAAGGAAUUGACGGGGGCCCGCACAAGCGGAGGAGCAUGUGGUUUAAUUCGAUGAUACGCGAGGAACCUUACCCGGGCUUGAAAGUUAGUGAAUAAUUCAGAGAUGAAUUAGUGAGCAAUCACACGAAACUAGGUGCUGCAUGGCUGUCGUCAGCUCGUGCCGUGAGGUGUUGGGUUAAGUCCCGCAACGAGCGCAACCCCUAUGUUUAGUUGCCAGCAUGUAAUGAUGGGGACUCUAAACAGACUGCCUGUGCAGACAGAGAGGAAGGAGGGGACGACGUCAAGUCAUCAUGGCCCUUACGUCCGGGGCUACACACGUGCUACAAUGGAUGGUACAGAGGGCAGCUACUUAGCAAUAAGAUGCCAAUCUCAAAAAGCCAUUCACAGUUCGGAUAGAGGUCUGCAACUCGACCUCUUGAAGUUGGAUUCGCUAGUAAUCGCAGAUCAGCAAUGCUGCGGUGAAUACGUUCCCGGGCCUUGUACACACCGCCCGUCAAGCCAUGGAAGCUGGGGGUACCUGAAGUACGUAACCGCAAGGAGCGUCCUAGGGUAAAACUGGUAACUGGGGCUAAGUCGUAACAAGGUA